CCAAUAGCGCAUAUUAAAGUUGUUGCAGUUAAAAAGCUCGUAGUUGAAUUUCAGGCCUGGCUGGACGGUCCGCCCUUCGGGUGAGUACUGUCUGUGGUCGGGUCCUACCUUCUGGCGAAGCGUCAUGGCCUUAACCGGCCGUGGCGGGGAACCAGGACUUUUACUGUGAAAAAAUUAGAGUGUUUAAAGCAGGCUCGCGCUUGAAUACAUUAGCAUGGAAUAAUGAAAUAGGACGUUGACCCUAUUUUGUUGGUUUCUAGGAUUGACGUAAUGAUUAAUAGGGAUAGUUGGGGGCAGUAGUAUUCAAUUGUCAGAGGUGAAAUUCUUGGAUUUAUUGAAGACUAACUACUGCGAAAGCAUUUGCCAAGGAUGUUUUCAUUAAUCAAGAACGAAAGUUAGGGGAUCGAAGACGAUCAGAUACCGUCGUAGUCUUAACCAUAAACUAUGCCGACUAGGGAUCGGAUGAUGUUAUUUUUAAUGACUCAUUCGGCGCCUUACG
This 499-nucleotide ribosomal RNA is filed under the name uncultured Paraglomus. RNAcentral's name for it is "bacterial SSU rRNA". It matches the Rfam family "Eukaryotic small subunit ribosomal RNA", at positions 591 to 1092 of the family's 1831-position model. Lineage: Eukaryota; Fungi; Glomeromycota; Glomeromycetes; Paraglomerales; Paraglomeraceae. The record is from RNAcentral.